AUAAAGCAUAGUAAGGAGUAGGAGCUACUUAAAGGAAUUGGCCACACCCUGUUUUUUCUUAGUUUAUUUCAUUGAAAUAUCCUAAAUACUGGUGACUAUAAACCAAAAUAUUACAUUACCCCACCCAUUAAACCAUAAUUUGGGGAUUUUUAAAAAAGCGCUGGAAAAACUAUCGCCACGAUCGGGAAUCCUGAUGACGUCACACGAGGCCUUCCCAGCCGCGAGGCAGUUUUCAGUACAUCAACAAUGGCUGACACUCACGACCACUCCGCCGAUUCUAGCUCCGAAUCUGUCGAUAUUUCGUCUGACAUAUCGGAUUUUAGUGAAUCCGAGUAUGUGUCAGACGUAGGAGAUGCUAUAGAAGAAUGUGGUGCCACAGAUCCAAAACAUGGCUGAAGUUUGUCAAUAGACCAGAUUUGAAUAGGAAAACCUGCAAAGAACUUAAUAAUACAUACAAGGUUUGUUCAAGACACUUCGCGCCUGAUAUGUACAUGAGUCCCAUAUCACCACGCCUGAAACAUUCAGCUGUUCCAACCAUACCUGUUCAGGAAAAAGUCUCACAAUGUGGGACUUUGUCAGUAGAAUCAACUGUGGCAGUUCCUUCUCCUAAGAUAGACACCCCAGAUGCUUCCUCAAAAAUAUGUGCGAUUGCAACAGAGUGUGUUGAAGAGUCUGAUGGCCCCCUGCAAAUAUUUAUACCCAGCACUGAUUCAGAAAAAGGAUCUUCCAGAGACAGUAUGGCAGCAGAGUCGUUAGAUGACUGGGGAUAUUUUGAUGGCGGUGGCGGUAACGACCCUUUGGAAGUUACCAGCUUCUCAUCAGAUAUGCCAAAGGAAGAAGCCAAUAACCAUGAAAAUACAUCCAGAGUGUUCUGCUCAGCAGACUUUUCAACUCCCGAAGGGAUGGUCAUCAAGCCAAACACAUCUCAACACCAAGAUAGUGGUGUUCUGGAUAAAUUGAAUGGUGAAAUUGCUCCUGAGUUCAUUGAGGUUAAGGAUGAGCCUUUGGAUGACUGGAGAGAUGUUGGUGAUUGUAACACUCAGGAAGAAUCAGGUGAUCUGCAUAAUGACUUGUUGUGUAGCCAAGAGAGGGAUGCACAUGGUGAAUCAGUUAAAGCUGAACCAUUAGACAGCUGGAAAGAUAUUGAUGAAUAUAAUGAUGAUAACAGACUACUGCAAGUUAAAGAAGAAUUAGAUGGCAAGGAUGAUGAUCAGUUUUAUAGAACUAAACUGAUGGCUUCUAAGGGAAAAAUGGCAGAAUUGGCGGAGAGAAAAUGCGUUUUUAAUUGGAAAUUCAGCUGUGACAACAAAUCAGAAAGACUUAUUGAGGCAGGCUAUGCCAGAAUUCAGAACAUUAUGAGAUGUAGCGGGAUCUACAAUGACGAUUUACACAUUUCACUGCAGAAAAAGCUUGAGAAUAAUGCUAACUUAACCAUUGACUGCCACAAAAGCUGUGUUUCUAGUUACACAUCCACUCAUCACGUUAAAGUGUUCAAAAAGCGAAAACAUUCUCAAGAAUCAUCAUCCUAUAUUCCACCAAAGAGAAGGCGACAAUCGUCGGCUUGUGGAAUGUUUGAUCUCCUUCAGGACUGUUUGUUUUGUGGAGAAAAUGUGAACUAAAAAAAGACAGUAAGAAUCCAUCACGUUGGAGAGCUGCCUAUAAAUUCAGACAAAUACUCAGUCCAGAUAGAAAGACGACCCUGAAGGAAUCAAUCUUAGAGAUAUGUCAUAGCGAGUCUGCCGUGGUGUCUGCAAGUAUGCUGGUGGAAGACCAAAUCAACUUAGUUCGAGAGCGCCCUGCUAUUUAUGAUCCCAGUGACCCCAACCACUGGGAUCGUGAUGUCAUUGCUUCCCUAUGGAAGGAGGUUGCUGCUGCAUUGUCGUGUACAGAACCCGAAUGUAAGGACAAAUGGCGCCACCUAAGAAGCAAUUUUAUGAGGGAAAGAAGAAAGAAUAGUGAAAAACCAUCUGGAUCAGGUAAUACACAGGCAAGGAGGUGGGUGUACUACGAUGCCAUGCAAUUUCUGAUCCCUUAUGUGACGCCACGACCAACAUCUUCAAACGUCCCUCAACCUCCUGAUGAAGACACCUGUCAUGAAACGGAAGAUGCAGAUCAAGAUUCUUCACUUUCUGCUGUCAUCGAAGCAUCAGAAAAUGCAUCUCCUCAAGAGGCUGCCAGUAACGUCGA
RNA transcript from Penaeus chinensis, 2187 nucleotides. It is a transcript of the gene named dentin sialophosphoprotein-like, with no coding region annotated. The transcript has 12 exons. Lineage: Eukaryota; Metazoa; Arthropoda; Malacostraca; Decapoda; Penaeidae. The record is from RefSeq and is a predicted model, not a curated record.